RNAcentral lists this ribosomal RNA (362 nucleotides) under Strongyloides papillosus. Its description in RNAcentral is "SSU rRNA". It matches the Rfam family "Eukaryotic small subunit ribosomal RNA", at positions 39 to 433 of the family's 1831-position model. The record is from RNAcentral. Lineage: Eukaryota; Metazoa; Nematoda; Chromadorea; Rhabditida; Strongyloididae.
AAAGAUUAAGCCAUGCAUGUGUAAGUACAAUGUUUUAAACAUGAAACCGCGGAAAGCUCAUUAUAACAGCUAUAGACUACACGGUAAAUAUUUUAGUUGGAUAACUGAGGUAAUUCUUGAGCUAAUACACGCUAUUUAUACCACAUUAGUGGUGCGUUUAUUUGAUUAAACCAUUAUAACGGUUGACUCAAAAUAUCCUUGCUGAUUUUGUUAUUAAAACAUACCGUAUGUGUAUCUGGUUUAUCAACUUUCGAUGGUAGGGUAUUGGCCUACCAUGGUUGUGACGGAUAACGGAGAAUUAGGGUUCGACUCCGGAGAGGGAGCCUGAGAAACGGCUACCACAUCCAAGGAAGGCAGCAGGC